This 506-nucleotide ribosomal RNA is filed under the name uncultured bacterium. RNAcentral's name for it is "partial 16S ribosomal RNA". It matches the Rfam family "Bacterial small subunit ribosomal RNA", at positions 30 to 523 of the family's 1533-position model. The record is from RNAcentral.
AUUGAACGCUGGCGGCAGGCCUAACACAUGCAAGUCGAGCGGCAGCGGGGGAAGGCUUGCUUUCCCGCCGGCGAGCGGCGGACGGGUGAGUAAUGUCUGGGAAACUGCCUGAUGGAGGGGGAUAACUACUGGAAACGGUAGCUAAUACCGCAUAACGUCUUCGGACCAAAGUGGGGGACCUUCGGGCCUCAUGCCAUCAGAUGUGCCCAGAUGGGAUUAGCUAGUUGGUGGGGUAACGGCUCACAAAGGCGACGAUCCCUAGCUGGUCUGAGAGGAUGACCAGCCACACUGGAACUGAGAAACGGUCCAGACUCCUACGGGAGGCAGCAGUGCGGAAUAUUGCACAAUGGGCGCAAGCCUGAUGCAGCCAUGCCGCGUGUAUGAAGAAGGCCUUCGGGUUGUAAAGUACUUUCAGCGGGGAGGAAGGUGUUGUGGUUAAUAACCGCAGCAAUUGACGUUACCCGCAGAAGAAGCACCGGCUAACUCCGUGCCAGCAGCCGCCGUAA